UUGACUCUGUGGAGGCGCGAACCGACUUCAGUUGAAAAUGGAGCGGAUGACCUGUGGAUAGGGGUGAAAGGCCAAUCAAACUCGGUGAUAGCUGGUUCUCCGCGAAAUGCAUUUAGGUGCAGCGUCGUGCGUUCAACGAUGGGGGUAGAGCACUGAAUGGGCUAGGGGUCCUACAAGACUACCGACCCCAAUCAAACUCCGAAUACCAUCGUUCCAGAGCACGGCAGUGAGACCUCGGGGGAUGAGCUUCGAGGUCGAGAGGGAAACAGCCCAGACCGCCGGCUAAGGUCCCAAAAUCUGAACUAAGUGGUAAACGAUGUGAGAUUGCGAAGACAGCCAGGAGGUUGGCUUGGAAGCAGCCAUCCUUGAAAGAGUGCGUAACAGCUCACUGGUCGAGUGAUCUUGCGCGGACAAUGUAACGGGGCUCAAGUUCAGUACCGAAGCCGCGGAUGCGACUCUUUGAGUCGUGUGGUAGCGGAGCGUCGAGCGUGCAGCGAAGCGGCGGGACAACCCAGCCGUGGAGCGCGUUCGAGUGCGAAUGUUGGCAUGAGUAGCGAAUGAGGGGUGAGAACCCCCUCCGCCGUACGUCCAAGGGUUCCUGGGCGAGGCCAAUCCUCCCAGGGUGAGUCGGGAGCUAAGGCGAGGCCGAGAGGCGUAGUCGAUGCACAACUGGUUGAUAUUCCAGUACCACCAUGUUCGCGUCCGUCCCAAUACUCUGUUGCUAAGGGGCUGUGUUGACUUCGGUCAACGCGAACCGACCCACAUUGUUGCGGGAAGCUGUAGGGGGACGCAGGAAGGUAGAUGAACCCGGUGAAUGGUAGAACCGGGGUAAGCGUGUAGGAGGAGGACCAGGUAAAUCCGGGCCUCAUAAACUCUGAGACGUGAUACCGAGCCGCUUCAGGCGAAGUCAUUGAUCCUAUGCUGCCUAGAAAAGCCCAGCAGCGAGUUGACAUGGUGCCCGUACCCCAAACCAACACAGGUGGACAGGUAGAGCAUACCAAGGCGAGUGGGAUAACUAUGGUUAAGGAACUCGGCAAAUUGCCUCCGUAACUUCGGGAGAAGGAGGACCCCAGUAGCGUGAUGAGACUUGCUCUCUGAGCGUGAAGGGGUGGCACAAAAUUGAGGGAAGCGACUGUUUACCAAAAACACAGCAGCGUGCUAAGCCGUAAGGCGCUGUAUACGCUGUGACUCCUGCCCGGUGCUGGAAGGUUGCGGGGAUGGGUUAGUCCUUCGGGACGAAGCUCUGAACCUAAGCCCCAGUAAACGGCGGCCGUAACUAUAACGGUCCUAAGGUAGCGAAAUUCCUUGUCGGGUAAGUUCCGACCUGCACGAAUGGAGUAACGACUUCCCUACUGUCUCAACCAUAGACCCAGCGAAAUUGAAGUACGAGUAAAGAUGCUCGUUAGCUGCAGAAGGACGGAAAGACCCCGUGGACCUUUACUAUAACUUGAUGUUGUGUUUUGCC
RNAcentral lists this ribosomal RNA (1465 nucleotides) under metagenome. RNAcentral describes it as "bacterial LSU rRNA". It matches the Rfam family "Bacterial large subunit ribosomal RNA", at positions 758 to 2128 of the family's 2925-position model. The record is from RNAcentral.